AGAGUUUGAUCCUGGCUCAGAAUGAACGCUGGCGGCGUGCUUAACACAUGCAAGUCGAACGGUAACAGGAGCAGCUUGCUGCUUGCUGACGAGUGGCGCACGGGUGAGUAAUAUAUAGGUAACGUGCCUCUUAGUCUGGGAUAGCCACUGGAAACGGUGAUUAAUACCGGAUACGCCCUACGGGGGAAAGGUUUUUCGCUAAGAGAUCGGCCUAUACUGUAUCAGCUAGUUGGUGAGGUAAGAGCUCACCAAGGCGAUGACACAUAGCGGGUUUGAGAGGAUGAUCCGCCACACUGGUACUGAGACACGGACCAGACUCCUACGGGAGGCAGCAGUGAGGAAUAUUGCACAAUGGGGGAAACCCUGAUGCAGCAACGCCGCGUGGAGGAUGACGCAUUUCGGUGUGUAAACUCCUUUUAUCAGAGAAGAAGAUGACGGUAUCUGAUGAAUAAGCUCCGGCUAACUCCGUGCCAGCAGCCGCGGUAAUACGGAGGGAGCAAGCGUUAUUCGGAAUCACUGGGCGUAAAGGGCGCGUAGGCGGGUUUUUAAGUCAGAUGUGAAAUCCUACAGCUUAACUGUAGAACUGCAUUUGAAACUGGGGACCUAGAGUAUGGAAGGGGAAGAUGGAAUUAGUGGUGUAGGGGUAAAAUCCGUAGAUAUCACUAGGAAUACCGAAAGCGAAGGCGAUCUUCUGGGACAUAACUGACGCUGAGGCGUGAAAGCGUGGGGAGCAAACGGGAUUAGAUACCCCGGUAGUCCACGCCCUAAACGAUGAACACUAGUCGUCGCGAUGCUCGUCAUCGCGGUGAUGCACCUAACGGAUUAAGUGUUCCGCCUGGGGAGUACGGUCGCAAGAUUAAAACUCAAAGGAAUAGACGGGGACCCGCACAAGUGGUGGAGCAUGUGGUUUAAUUCGAAGAUACGCGAAGAACCUUACCUGGCCUUGACAUUGAUUGAAUUCGGUAGAGAUACUGAAGUGCUAGUUUACUAGAACAUGAAAACAGGUGCUGCACGGCUGUCGUCAGCUCGUGUCGUGAGAU
Molecule: ribosomal RNA, 1040 nt
Filed under: uncultured Campylobacterota bacterium
Lineage: Bacteria; Pseudomonadati; Campylobacterota
Description: bacterial SSU rRNA
Rfam family: Bacterial small subunit ribosomal RNA
Source: RNAcentral